GAAAUGCGAUAAGUAAUGUGAAUUGCAGAAUUCAGUGAAUCAUCGAAUCUUUGAACGCACAUUGCGCCCGCCAGUAUUCUGGCGGGCAUGCCUGUUCGAGCGUCAUUUCAACCAUCAAGCCCCCAGCUUGUGUUGGGGACCUGCGGCUGCCCGCAGGCCCUGAAAAACAGUGGCGGGCUCGCUGUCACACCGAGCGUAGUAGCAUACAUUCUCGCUCAGGGCGUGCUGCGGGUUCCGGCCGUUAAACGACCUUCAUAACCCAAGGUUGACCUCGGAUCAGGUAGGAAGACCCGCUGAACUUAAGC
This 305-nucleotide unclassified non-coding RNA is filed under the name plant metagenome. RNAcentral's name for it is "partial contains 5.8S ribosomal RNA, internal transcribed spacer 2, and large subunit ribosomal RNA". The stretch from base 1 to 105 matches the Rfam family "5.8S ribosomal RNA", at positions 50 to 154 of the family's 154-position model. The record is from RNAcentral.